UACGGAGUGUGCGAGCGUUGUUCGGAAUCACUGGGCGUAAAGCGCGUGUAGGCGGCUUCGUAAGUCUGGUGUGAAAGCCCGGGGCUUACCCCCGGAAGUGCACUGGAUACUGCAAAGCUUGAGUACCGGAGAGGAAAGUGGAAUUCCUGGUGUAGCGGUGAAAUGCGUAGAUAUCAGGAGGAACACCGGUGGCGAAGGCGGCUUUCUGGACGGAUACUGACGCUGAGACGUGAAAGCGUGGGGAGCAAACAGG
This 253-nucleotide ribosomal RNA is filed under the name uncultured bacterium. Its description in RNAcentral is "partial 16S ribosomal RNA". It matches the Rfam family "Bacterial small subunit ribosomal RNA", at positions 524 to 776 of the family's 1533-position model. The record is from RNAcentral.